GCUGAAGCUGGGUGCUUGCACCUGGUGGAUGAGUGGCGAACGGGUGAGUAAUACGUGAGUGACCUUCCUUGGACUCUGGGAUAAGCCCGGGAAACUGGGUCUAAUACCGGAUACGACCAGUCCUCGCAUGGGGUGCUGGUGGAAAGGGUUUGUACUGGUUCUUGAUGGGCUCACGUCCUAUCAGCUUGUUGGUGAGGUAAUGGCUUACCAAGGCGACGACGGGUAGCCGGCCUGAGAGGGUGACCGGCCACACUGGGACUGAGACACGGCCCAGACUCCUACGGGAGGCAGCAGUGGGGAAUAUUGCACAAUGGGCGCAAGCCUGAUGCAGCGACGCCGCGUGGGGGAUGACGGCCUUCGGGUUGUAAACCUCUUUCAGCAGGGAAGAAGCGAAAGUGACGGUACCUGCAGAAGAAGCGCCGGCUAACUACGUGCCAGCAGCCGCGGUAAUACGUAGGGCGCAAGCGUUGUCCGGAAUUAUUGGGCGUAAAGAGCUCGUAGGCGGUUUGUCGCGUCUGCUGUGAAAGCCCGGGGCUCAACCCCGGGUGUGCAGUGGGUACGGGCAGGCUGGAGUGCAGUAGGGGAGACUGGAAUUCCUGGUGUAGCGGUGAAAUGCGCAGAUAUCAGGAGGAACACCGAUGGCGAAGGCAGGUCUCUGGGCUGUUACUGACGCUGAGGAGC
This 681-nucleotide ribosomal RNA is filed under the name Rothia koreensis. Its description in RNAcentral is "bacterial SSU rRNA". It matches the Rfam family "Bacterial small subunit ribosomal RNA", at positions 66 to 754 of the family's 1533-position model. Lineage: Bacteria; Bacillati; Actinomycetota; Actinomycetes; Micrococcales; Micrococcaceae. The record is from RNAcentral.